CUGUAAUUCUCGAGCUCCUUAAGACAUCAGUUGUGCAACCUCCCUCCCAUUCUACUGUUUGCUUUUAUUGCUUGUGGGUCAGAAGCAGUGCAGUCUACAAGGAUUUCCUCCUUUCCUUCAAUUACUCCUGAAAGGCACUGCUUCUCAAGCCUGAUGUUUAAGUCAUGGAUUAUUUCCUAAACAGCACUGGGGCUGAAGCAGGAGGCAAAUGGCCGAUUCUCUCUGGAGGAAGAUGUGAAAAUCCAGGAUCCUGUGGACAUCGGUGGCUUUGGCUCCCUUGGGCGAGUGAGCAGAGUGAUGCUUCUCAGACUGCAGAAAGGCCCUCACAGACACACCCAGAAGUAAAGAAUAAUAUAUAAAUAGCUUCCUGGGGAUCCUUCAGAAUGUCUUCCUGUUUGUGUAUCCUCUACUAUCAAUGCAAAGUACCUCUCAUCCAAUUUUCCACAGUCAACCCAAUGCGAAUACAAUCGACCCUCUGCGUCCUACUGUUCUGCAUCCCUGGAUUCAACCAACCAUCCAUUGAAGAUAUUUGGAAACAAAAACUGCACUUCUAGAGCAGCAAGAGACAUAGCACUCCUCCCCUGCAGAGACCACAGAAUCAUGGCGUCAUCUUGGAAGCAAAGAACAGCCCUCACCAGACACUAAACCUGUUGGCACUUUGAUGUUGGACUUCCCAGCAUCCAGAACUCUAAAAACUAAAAUUACUCAGUGCUUGUUAUUUUGUUCUAGCACACAAAUGGACUAAGAUAUUGCUAUAUUUUCUAGUGUUGAAAAUACAUUCAAUGUAACAAUUGCCCUCAGAUGUUGUCUAACAUAUAACUAAGAUCUAAAAAAUGCAACAAAAGCUUUGUGUUUUAGACUGGUGUUGUAUAUAAGAGUAAGAGGAGAGACAGGAAACUAGCCUGAUUUGAGAGGGAUGUAUUUGGGGCACCCAGUGUAACACCACACACAUAGAAGCCAAUAAAUAAAUGUUUGUUGAGUUAAUAAAAAGUGAGGUCUGUGAACAGGGGACUUUAUUAUUAUGGGAGGCACAGGGUGCAGUAGAAAUGGCUCUGGCCUUGAGGACACAUCUGUCCUGCACAUCUUUUGCUGCUCCUUCAUCCACUCCAGCCCUUAUGUACCUUAUGUACCUUAUGUACCCAUGAUGGCCUCCACUUGAGCUCUCUCCCCUUCUGGCUCUCAGAUAGGUAGGGCCAGUGGGGAGCAAUGGGAGAGGUCAGAGGGAGAAGGGAAGAGAAGGAGGCCACAGUACUCAAUCCUUGACCCCUUCCUUGUAAUGUCUAGGGAUAGCUGUGUCUCCCAAUCACAAGCCACUGUCCUGCCCUUUUUGACCUCCGACCCCAUCAACAUUCCAAGGGUGGAAAUGGUGAGGUUGGUGCUCUCCUCUGGGCACUGUUGUAACCUGUGGCUUCCCAACACCCUGCUGUAAACAGUCUUUUGAUGAAAGUCUUCUCAAAUUGCUUAAUUUGGACAGUGACAGCCUUUCCCACAUGGGCCUGUACAGCUAUGCUUGUUCAUAGGGAACACUUGGUUUUGUGCAGUAAAAAUCCAGUGAAGUGUGUUAAAGAAAAAAGCAAAGACAUGGGGUGAUGCAUGAGAAGCUGUUGAGUAACUUCUAGGGCCCAGAGGCAAGGUCAUCAGAACCCUUCCCAUGUGGUGCCAGAACUGGAACUAGAAGGUCAGCAGGAAGUAAAAUGGCCAUGCAAGGCACCCCUCCAGGCCUCAGUGGGGCUUUCAUAGCUGCUUCCCUCUGCAUGUCCCCCUGUCUCUCCCCACUAGCCAUGCCUGUCUCUCUUGGUUUCCCUGGUGAGAGAUGUUCCUCCCUUAAUUUACAGGUUCACAUGUUCUUAACUCAACUCACUAAGGUUCACAAUGCCUCUUAGGCCUUAAAAGAAUAACUAGGCUUUUCCACACAGGGCCAACACUCCACGCUUAUCCAAUUAGCUAUGGCAGGAGGAUCUGGGUCUGUUGUAUUUCUGCCUUCAUGAAUGAGGAAACAGUGGUAUAGUUACAUAAUUUUUAAGGUCACAUGGUGGUAGGACAAG
Molecule: long non-coding RNA, 2045 nt
Filed under: Heterocephalus glaber (naked mole-rat)
Lineage: Eukaryota; Metazoa; Chordata; Mammalia; Rodentia; Bathyergidae
Description: lncRNA (ENSHGLG00000032023.1)
Source: RNAcentral